This 373-nucleotide ribosomal RNA is filed under the name uncultured organism. RNAcentral describes it as "partial 16S ribosomal RNA". It matches the Rfam family "Bacterial small subunit ribosomal RNA", at positions 527 to 896 of the family's 1533-position model. The record is from RNAcentral.
GUAGGUGGCAAGCGUUGUCCGGAAUUAUUGGGCGUAAAGCGCGCGCAGGCGGUUCUUUAAGUCUGAUGUGAAAGCCCACGGGCUCAACCGUGGAGGGUCGUUGGAAACUGGGGAACUUGAGUACAGAAGAGGAAAGCGGAAUUCCACGUGUAGCGGUGAAAUGCGUAGAGAUGUGGAGGAACACCAGUGGCGAAGGCGGCUUUCUGGUCUGUAACUGACGCUGAGGCGCGAAAGCGUGGGGAGCAAACAGGAUUAGAUACCCUGGUAGUCCACGCCGUAAACGAUGAGUGCUAAGUGUUAGGGGGUUUCCGCCCCUUAGUGCUGCAGCUAACGCAUUAAGCACUCCGCCUGGGGAGUACGGCCGCAAAGGCUG